UAUAUAUAUUUUUUAAACAUGUAAUUUUCAAGAUAAUUAAUUCUAUACUAAAAAAGAAAAUGCAUUAUGAAGAGCAUCAUGUAAUUUCGAAAUAAAUUAAGGGGGUUUUGAUUACCUCAUCGUUGAAUGUCGUUAAGGCAUAGUUUGCCACCUUGCCUUUCUUGAUUUUCUCCUCGUCUUCGGAGGAGCUCGAUUCAUCCCACUUUAUGUUCUUCUUCUUUGGCCUCUUCCUUCGUUCAAGUUUAUUAUUUAUUUUAGAUUUUU
This 264-nucleotide long non-coding RNA is filed under the name Musa acuminata (dwarf banana). RNAcentral's name for it is "long non-coding RNA (MACU_LNC004644)". The record is from RNAcentral. Lineage: Eukaryota; Viridiplantae; Streptophyta; Magnoliopsida; Zingiberales; Musaceae.